AAUGUCCAUCCCUCAUAUGGUGUGCACCACAUCCAUUAGCCCUGGACGUGAAUUAUCUCUUUGUUCAGAGCAUCCACACUGCAUAUGCUGCCUGCCUCUUAGCCAUUGACAUCAUCUGCUCCUGACAUCCAACCAUCGACAUUGUCAUGGCUUGAUCGUCUGGAAUCACUUGAAACAGAUGAUGCUCCUUCGAAUGUAUUGUCAGAAGGACUUGCCAACCAGUAAGCUUUACUGCAGGUGGCUACUUGGAAAAAAUCCAAAACCCAAUAAUUGAAAGAACCUGUUUUUGGAGAGAAUGAAUGAAAAGGAAUUUAGAACUAUUGCCAAAAGCCACAGGUACAUCAGGCAGGUGUGGUGGGCUUUGGAAUUUGCAUGCUAGGGGGUAUAUGGAAAGUGGAAACUUC
Microcebus murinus (gray mouse lemur) is the source of this 404-nucleotide non-coding RNA. NCBI's taxonomy places the organism in Eukaryota, Metazoa, Chordata, Mammalia, Primates, Cheirogaleidae. The record is from RefSeq and is a predicted model, not a curated record.